AAGACUAGAGUGGUGAUCGCCUCAGAGGUCUGGGAGGGUUAACCGAGUUCAUAUCUUUAAAGAAGGGAGGACAAUGCUGGUCCAAGCAGAAGCUGAGUAAAUGUUAGCCACUGUUACAGGUCAGAGGAGAGCUGGGGGGCCAGGCCGUGGCCUCCUCAGGCCCUAGGCCCUGAAUUGGAGCUGUGUCCAAACCCAAGUGUGAUGAGAGGUGACCAGUUGUCCGGGCUCCCCGUGCUGGGGCGGGAGGAGGUAACCAUGGCAACACCUGUCGGUUAUCAGCCGUUGUUUCUUUGGAGCUCCCAAUUCAUCAGAUUUCGUGAAUCAGAAUCUCUGAGAUGGGUGGAGAUGAAACGGGCUUGCCUGGUGUGAAAGAUCCAGGACAUUCAGGGCUUAUUGCUUACAGAGUGCUUUCACAAGCACUGUUCAUUGGAUGCUCACAACAGUCUUGAGAGUUGUGGGUCCUUCUGGCUGUGGCAUGUGGGACGCUGCCUCAGCGCGGCCACUGAGCGGCACCAUGUUCUCGCUGAGGACUCGAACCGGCGAAACCCCGGGCCGCCUGCAGCGGAGCCCAGGAACUUAACCACUCGGCCACAGGGCCGGCGCCAGAGUUAAAUUUUUUAUAAUAUUACUACUAUUGUCUUUUAAUAAAAGUAUAAUUUGCUUAUUUCAACAUUUCAGGCUGUCUUUCUUAGUUGUCUCCUCUUUACUAGGAAUAAUUAAUGUGUUCUGCUUUUAGUACAGCCUUUAGUCCAGGCUAGGAAGCAUAGUGGACAGGCGAUGCUGACCAGGGACCGGCUUCUCCAUUCACACACCAGUUG
This 818-nucleotide long non-coding RNA is filed under the name Equus caballus (horse). Its description in RNAcentral is "lncRNA (ENSECAG00000057038.1)". The record is from RNAcentral. Lineage: Eukaryota; Metazoa; Chordata; Mammalia; Perissodactyla; Equidae.